AGGAGAGAUCUGAUCAUACCUCUAUACCUUUUUAUAUCUACGGUCUUACCAUUUUCAUCCUGAUCCAUAUUAACAGCAGUAGGCAUUGGAGUGUCGAUUACUUUGGAGUUUGCCAUAUCGAAGCACUUAAGUAGCUCAUUAGAAUACUUCGUUUGGCUCACAAAAGUUCCUUAUUCAAGUUGCUUGAUUUGAAGUCUGAGGAAGUAAUUUAGCUCCCCCAUCAUGCUCAUUUCAAAUUCUCCCUACAUCAACUUAGAGAAUUCCUUGACCAAAUUUAUGUUAGUAGAUCCAAAAAUAAUGGCAUCUACAUAGACGUGAACUAAAAUAGAGUGUUUUCCUUGACGCCUAAUAAAAAGGGUAGUAUCAAUCUUCCCUCUUGAGAAUCCUUGCUCUAGUAGAAUUUUGCUAAGACGCUCAUACCAUGCCCUAGGGGCUCGUUUGAGACCGUAUAAAGCAUGCUUGAGCUUAUAAACAUAGUUAGGAUGCUCAUGGUUUUCAAAGUCGAGAGGUUGAGAUACAUAGACCUCUUCAUUAAUGUAACCGUUUAGGAAAGCGCUCUUACCAUCCAUUUGAAAUAAUUUGAAAUAUUGAGAACAAGCAUAGGCAACCAAAAGGCGUAUAGCCUCGAGUCGGGCAACCAGAGCAUAAGUUUACUCAUAGUCGAUGCCUUCCUCUUGGUUAUACCCUUGAGCAACAAGGUGAGCCUUGUUGUGAGUUAUGAUUCUGUUUUCGUCUAACUUGUUCCUAAACACCCAUUUAGUUUCAAUUACUCGAUGGUCUCGUGGAGGGGGAACAAGAUCCCACACCUCAUUUCUUUUGAAUUGAUUAAGUUCCUCUUGCAUUGCUAAAAACCAAUGUUCAUCGAGUAAUGCAUCAUUAGAGUUUUUAGGCUCAUUUUGAGAGACAGAAGCGAAAUGAUAACAAAAGUUACUUAUCUUUGACUGUGUGGUAACUCCCUUUGAGAUAUCUCAUAGAAUAUUAUCGAUGGGAUGAUCCUUAGAAUAUUUCCAUUCCAAAGGAAGAUAAUUGUUAUUAAUAGAAUGAUCCUCCUCUUUCUUUUCGGAAAUUUGAUCCGGCUCCUCCUCAGCUUUUUUCGGAUGGGGUUCAACAUGUUUUUCUUCUUGAUCUUUUAUUAUGUCUUUUGAAGGAACACCUACACCAUCAACAAUAAUACCUUCUCCGACAGUUUUCAGAUAAGAUUCAUCAAAGGAAACAUGCACGGAUUCUUCAACAAUAAGUAACCUUUUGUUGUAUACUCUAUAUGCUUUACUAGAAUGAGAGUAUCCGAGAAAGAUACCUUCAUCGGCUUUUGAGUCAAUAACAAUAAGUAACCUUUUGUUGUAUACUCUAUAUGCUUUACUAGAAUGAGAGUAUCCGAGAAAGAUACCUUCAUCGGCUUUUGAGUCAAAUUUACCAAGGUUUUCUUUACCAUUGUUUAAUACAAAGUAUUUACAUCCGAAGAUAUGAAGAUAUGAAGAAUUAGGCUUCCUUCCCUUUAGAAAUUCAUAAGGGGUUUUGUUUAGAAUAGGACGAAUGAGUAUCCUAUUCAAUACAUAACAAGCUGUAUUUAUGGCAUCGUCCCAAAAGUAUUUAGGAAGGCCAUUUUCAUUGAUCAUAGUUCUUCCAAGCUCUUAUAAAAUUCUAUUUUUACAUUCCACUACUCCAUUUUGUUGUGGAGUUCUUGGAACAGAAAAAUUAUGAUUAAUGUCGUUUGUUUCACAAAAUUCCUCAAAGAGGUGGUUUUCAAAUUAACCUUCGUGAUCACUUCGAAUAGUAACUAUACUGGUGUUCAAUUUGUUUUGAGACAUCUUGGCAAACUUUUCAAAAGCAGAAAAAGUGUCACUUUUACUUGCUAAGAAAAUAGUCCAACAAAAUAUGGAGUAGUCAUCUACUAUAACAAAACCAUAGUAGUUUCCACCUAGACUUUUAAUUCUAGAUCCAAAAGGUCCAUAUGGAGAAGUUCAAGGGGUAUCGUUGUAGAAACAAUAUUUUUAGAUUUAAAUGAGAUCCUUGUUUGCUUUCCCAUUUGGCACGCAUCACAUAAGUGAUCUUUUGAAAUUUUGAUUUUGGGAAGACCAACUACUAGAUCUUUUGCGACAACUUUAUUUAGCAAGUCAAAGUUGACAUGCGCUAAUCGCCUAUGCCAAAGGCACGAGUCUUCACUCAUGGAGACGAGACAUUUAGCGCUAGUCAAGGAUACUUCAUUUAAGUUAAGCAUGUAUACAUUAUUUUCCCUCAAGCCCUUAAGCAUAUCAUUCUUAUUAUCAUUAUGUUCAAUCAUGCAACAAUCUUUUGAAAACAAUACUUUAUAUCCUUUGUCAUAUAAUUGGCUAAUACUAAUGAGAUUGUGCUUAAGGCCUUUAACUAAGAGGACGUCUGAGAUAGUAGUAGAGGAGGGAUUACCUACACUACCUUUUCCGAGUAUAGCUCCCUUGUUAUUAUCACCGUAGGUUACAAACCCUUUCUUCUUAGCCACAAAGUCAAAGAACAAGGAGAUGCCACCCGUCAUGUGUCUUGAGCAUCCACUAUCGAGAACCCAUGUUCUCUCCGUAUCCUCAAGACAUUCCACCUAUAAAUUUAAACAAGGGAGGGAGGUACCCAAUUUUCAUUGGGUCCUAGUGUGUUAGUAAAACUUUGGUUGCAUUUAGGCAACCAUUGAAAAAUGCCUUUAGGGACUAAAAAUCUCCUAAAUCGAUAUUUAGCAAUAGUAUGUCCCCUUUUGCAACAAUAUAGGCAAUUUAAGUUAGGAUGAGACUUGCUUUUGCUAACUUGAUCCUUUACCACAUAAAUGUAUCUUUGAUAAGGAUUAUUCAUGUUACUUCUAAAAUGUGAUUGAUCAAUAGCAAAGGUAACUUUAGGUUGUAAAGUCUUGUCUAAUUUGGCUUGAAAAGUUCUAACCUCUCUUUUCCAAAUGUGACAGGUUUCACAUCCGGACCAUCCAAACCAAAAUCCCUUAUCAUCUUCAGUUUUGCCUUUAGUAACCUCUAUCAUAGAUUUCUUGAGAGUUUCUAAUUCCUUUUCGGAAUUAGAAAUCUUCUUUUCUAAAUAGCAAAAAAAAUCUUAUUUGAGGUUAGGCGUUUGAAAGCUUCCUUGGCCUUAUUGUGUAAAGUACUAAAGACAUUUUGCAAAUCACAAUAAGAUAUUUUAUCAACAUGAUCAUAUUUAGAAUGACUUACAUUCUUUUUCUUAUUUUGAUGAGCUGUAAGACAAAGAUUUGUAUUUUCUUCUUCAUGACUUGAGUUAUCAUCGCUUAAGGACUCACUAUCACUCUCCCAUGCAAUGUAUGCUCUUCUAGAUUUGCUAGAUUUGUUGUGAUGUUUGUCUUUUCCUUUGUCUUUCUUCAGCAAGGGACAGUCCGACUUAUAAUGAUCGGUCUUUCCGCAAUUAAAACAUGAUCCUUUUGACUUAGUUGUCUUACAUUCCUCUUGAUUUGGGAAUUUUGAUUGUCUUCUAUAGUUGAAAAGAUUUUUAUCCAAAUGUUGGACUUCAUUCUUUCUAAGGUAUCAGUUAUACCUCCUUACGAACAACCCUAUGUCUUCAUUCGAAUCUUUAUCGUCAUCACUUGAUUCACUCUCACACGCAUCAUUGGUGGAUGACUUAUAUCUUGAAGUCUUUAAAGCGAUAGACUUCCUUUCGGUGUCCUCAACUUUAUCCUUCUUUUCCUUCUUUUGACUUUCUCAUGUUUCUCAAGGUUCAUGAGAUCUUGCUCAUGCUUUUGAAGCUUGCCAAACAAUGUUGUCAUGUCCAAUGUUCUUAGAUCAUUGGCUUCCUUAAUCGCGGUGACCUUUGGUAGCCAAUUCCGGUUAAGACAUCUUAAGAUUUUAUUAGUAGCAACAUCAUUAGGGGUAGUUCUACCAAGAGCAUUUAACCGAUUGAUUAGAUGAAAAAAUCGCUUUUGCAUAUCGGUAAUGGUUUCACCAUCCUCCAUAUGAAAAAGGUCAAAUUCUUGAGUUAAAGUGUUGAUUCUAGCUAGUUUGACGUGAUUGGUUCCCUCAUGGGUAAUUUGCAAUAAGUCCCACAUAGCUUUAGCACUAGUACAAUGGAAAACCCUAUAAUACUCAUCAACACCUAAAGCGGAAAUAAGCAUAUUUUUGGCUUUCCAUUCAUAGCUAUACUUUUUCUCAUCUUCUUCAUUCCAUUGUGCUUCAGGUUUAGGUAUAACAAAACCAUCCGCAUUGGUCAUGGUUAUUUCCAUAGGACCAUCUUGGAUGACUUUCCAUACUUUCAUAUCAAUAGAGUUGUUAUGGAUACGCAUAUAAUCUUUCCAAUAACUAUAGUUUUCACCGGUAAAAAUAGGUGCCCUGUUGUACGCCACUUUAGGAUCGUUACUUAUUUUCUAAAAAGUUAUAUGCGAAGCACUAGAUGAACCAACGCUCGUGAUACCACUUGUUAGAUGAUAGUACCGAUCUAGAAUGGGGUUGAAUAGAUCAAUUUUGAAAUUUAUCUCUUUUUAAAAAUGUUUUCAACGGUCGCGGAAGCACAUUAGAUUAUAACCGUCUAAACGAUUUGUUAAUGAAAAGAUCGGAUAUGCGGGAAACCGAAUGGAAUAACUAAUAUAGAGAUAAUUAACCACUAUCUAAAUCAAUAGAUUAACCACUAUAAUCCUUGAUAUUGUUGCCUCUAAUAAUGCUUAAACGCAAUAAGAGAUCAAGUAAAAUAUUACUAAAUUUGUGUGAGAUUAAUUUUAUCGAACACUUGGUGUGCACUCCACACCAAGUUUCAAUUUCACUCAAAUUGAAUGUGCAGAAUUUUACUCAGCUGCAAUCAAAGUGAUUGCACCAAUUUAUCGAACAGUUAUUAUGCACAACAAUAAAAGCAAUAUUGGUUUUACUAUUAAUUUCGCACAAACCGUAAUUAAUGCAGAAUUUAAAGAGUUAAGAGAUAGAGAGAACAGGACCGGAUUUGUUGAGGCAGUUCCCAUAUCGUCCUUGCUUAGCGUACGUUUGCCCUCAAUUCUAAAUCUAGAAUUGAGAUGUUUUUAUUAACACGUUGCAAAGUCAAUACAAGAGAACAAAUGAUCACCACCAACAAACUCCUAGUAUUGUUGCAGAUCAUAUUCGCUUCUCUCCCCUUGAUUCGACUUGAACCAAGUCCUUCAAGCGCUUCGAACAAACCUCCGGUUACAGCUACCUUAUUGCAAGAAUGCCAUGUUCUUCAAAACUUCAGCUCGGCUGAUUUCGAUCGUAAGUCACUUGAACCCUAAGCUUUCUUCACAAUCCUUCAGUUACCGUUACUUGUUUGACCGAAUCCACCGUUCUUCAAACUUUUUACUCGGUUGAAUCUACGAAGCAAAGAUUAAUGCAAAAAACCCCAAUUCUUGGAGGAAAAAACCCCAAUGGUUUUAUUCAAGAAAAACCCACACAAAGCCUCAACCCAAACUAAGAUAACAUACUCUUAUUUGGAUGUUAUCACAACAGCAAUGCACAAUGCUCAAUAAAGAUUGUUAUGUGUGAUUAUUGAGAAAUGCAAUGAAGAAUGAAGAUGAUGAGCACUUUGGUGUAUAUCUUUCACUUUUCUUGUUAAGAUGUUGAAGAACAGACUCUAGACUAUUUAUAUGAUGCAUGGACCAACUAACAGACAUAACAUAAUUAUUUUGCAAAAUUACACAGCAGAAAAUUAAGUCUAAACAACGGCCACUCGACCUGUAUGGACCCGAGGCAAAAUUAUUCAAGUAAAACAGGCGAUGAGUCGACUCAAACAGAGGAUGAGUCGACUCAAACAGAGUUUUUCCAGGAUUGAGUCAACCUAUGACUUGACCUGUUCAGACUCGUGACUACAUGGUUCAAACAAAAAUAGGCAUUGAGUCGAUGCAACAUGUGGAUGAGUCGACUCAUUCAGUUUUCCUAGGAUUGAGUCGACCCGUGGCUCGACCUGUUCAGGCCCGGAAGUUACGCUCUAAGUCAUUGAGUCGACCUGUGACUCGACCUAUUCAGACCCGAGAGUUACGCUCCGAGUCAUGAGUCGACUCACGGGUCCUAAACUCCUAAAAAUGAGUUUUGAGAUGUAUUUUGACCAAUUUAAUCGAUCUCUUAUGAAACUAGGAUAUUUACUAUGAUCAAGUGCAUGAUUCACAUCUAUGAUAUGCUCUUAUAUGUCUGGACAUGUUGUACCUAUAUUUUGAACAUGUUAGAGGAUGAAUGCAUUCUAUGAUAUGAUGAUAUUGUCCAAAGUACAUGUUAUGGGCGAUUAGAAAGGUUUGACAUCAUUAAAAUAAGGACUAGACAUAUUUUCCCUCACAUUAUUGUUGAGGUUGGACCCAUUAUCAAUGAUAAUUUUGUUGGGAACCCCGUAUCGGCAUAUGAUGUUGUUCUUCAAGAAGCGGGCAACCACUUGCUUGGUGACAUUAAUAUAAGACGCGGCUUCGACCCAUUUGGUGAAGUAGUUUAUGGAAACCAAUAUAAACCUAUGUUCAUUAGAUGCUUUGGGUUAAAUCAUCCCAAUCAUGUCAAUUCCCAACAUAGAGAAAAGAAAUGGUGAUGCUAUGACAUUUAGAGGGGUAGGUGGAACGUGCACCUUGUCAGCGUAUAAUCUGGUACUUAUAGCAUGUUCUAGAAUAAUGGUAACAGUCAGAUUCCAUUGUUAUCCAGUAGUAACCUUCCCUUAGGAUUUUAUUUUCCAUCGCAUGCCCACUUGCAUGGGUACCAAAGGAUCUUUCAUGUAUAUCCUUCAUAAGUAGAUUGGUUUCAUGUUUGUCCAUACAUCUGAGCAGGACCAAGUCAUAAUUCCUUUUAUACAACACAUCUCCAUUUAGGAAGAAAUUUGAUGCUAACCUCCGGAUAGUCCUCUUAUCAGGGCUAGAAGAGUAUGUCCACUAUUGGAUGGGAAAGGAAUGAUAUUGCAUACUGUCCUUUCGCCCAUAAAAUCAGUGACAGGUAUUGUCCUUACCCAUGAAAUCAGGUAGUGGAAAGGAUGUUCGUUUUGUACCAUGUACUAUUUGAGCACGUUCUCAUUUUGAUCUUAUCUUCAUAUUCAUUGACUUAUGAUGAAAGUUGAUGAAGCAUGAAAUGAAGAAGCAUAAACCUGGAUUCAGAAACUUUAGAAUCUUCGGUCAGAACCUUGACAGUGCCAGUAGUAUGGGUUGAGAUCUUCAGUAUCUUUAGAAUCUUUAGAGUCUUCAGAAUCCUCAGUCAAAACCUUAAUAACUUCAAUCGUCUGGUUUGAGAUCUUCCGAAUCUUCAAUUACACAACACAACUUCAUAAGCUUGCCAUUCGUCAGAAGUUUGGUGAUCAGAGCCACGUCCAGUAGCAUGAACUAUGAGAACAUUACAGCAGCAACAUAGUCUCUCCUCAUAAGCUUCUGAUGAGUGAGACAACACAGAAGCAGAAAGACAUUGCAGUAGAAAUAUUGACGUCUUUCAGAACAUCUAAUAAUUGGCGCAAAAGCAUAUUUGGAACACGUAGUUCAGAAAUUGAUGACGUUGCACAUCAUAUAUCCAUAAUCAGAACUGGUUGUUAAAGCUACACAAUAAUAAACCAUUAGGGUACCAAAAUUGUUCUCACACAAAUACAAUAUUGUUAUCAUCAAAACUCAAGGUAUAGAUGCAUAACCAAAUCUUGUGCUAACAAUCUCCCCCUUUUUGAUGAUGACAAAACAUGUAUUUUGAUGAACAUUUUUGUACAUGAUAAUCAUAGAAUAAUACAUCUUACAAAAUCACAAAGCUCCCCAUGAGAUGUAGAAUCCUAUAAAGAUAAAAUCAGAAUGAAAGAACACUUUCCUGAUUAACCUUUUUGAAAUACCAGAGUGAAUAUUCUGUCAGAAUUUGGUUUAUCUUCAGAAGUUAAUUGAUGUUGUCCAAAGCACUGGUUUGAUGACAUUAUCAUUCUGAUAGGCUUCACUUCAGAAGAUUCCUUGAAUUCUUUAGAAGAAAGUUUAAAACUGGUUAUCUUCUUUAAAAGAGCAGGUUUUCUUAUUAGAACCUUGACUUUUCAAGUCUAAUUACUAUAGAAGAAAAUAUCUCUUAGCUGGAUUCCAAAUCCAUGAUUAUCAGAAAGAACAUAUUCUGAACCAUUCUAAUUCUUGAGGAAUGACCCUACAAAACACUCAACAAACUAUUAUUUGAAGUAGUUGUUAGCAGAAAGCAUUAAUCAAUGUUUGGGUUUUUAAUUAAGGAAAUUAUAUAUAAAAAUAAACACUAAUUCUUCCCCUUUAGAAUGUUAUGUUUUCUCCCCCUUCGUCAUCAAUCAAAAAGACAUAAGACAAAAAAUAAAUGAAGAGAAACAAACAUUUUUCAUUGAAAAAUUGCCACAGAAGCUUCAGAGACGACAAUCUGAGUAACAACUUCUUCCAUAGCACAAUCUUGAGGUUCAAAAGCAACAUCAACUUCUGGAGCAGACUCAAGGUGUUGAGCAAUCUCUAUUUCUGGAGCAGCUGGAGCAGCUUCUUCUUCCAUAACCUCAGGAGUCGCUUCCUUGAUUUCUGGAGCAGGAAGACAAAGUUGGGAGUUUCUUAACUUCUAGAGUUCCAUUAAGGGAAUGAAACCAUAACAUAAUUUUACUUCAACAAGAGUGUACCCAAAAUCCUUCAACUUAGAAAUCUUGGAGUUCAUCCAGCUUCUGUAAGCUUCCCAUGUUGAAUCACUAGCAGUCGGAUUUUCUGAAGAACGACUGACAGUCAUUGCUUCAUGCAAACGGAUUUUAGAUUCUGACUCAAAUUUCCUCAGAACCUUACCAAAGUUAGAGGAGGAUUUUUUUGGUUGUUUGGGGUAUUUAACUGUAAGUUUGAUUUUAGACUCAUCAAAGUCAGGACAAAAUACAGAAGGAAAUCAUGGGACAAUAAUGGAAAGUGAUUCAUGAUCAGGAGACGUUGGUUCGGGUUCAAAUUUAAACACUCCUUCAGGAGUUCCAUCAGAAACGUGUCCAUCUGAAACUCUUGAGAGAGAUGUUCUGGGGGUUAUUAUAUUUGGAUUUGUUGGUUUGGAAGCAGAAAUACAUGGUGGUGAGAUGGGUGAAUUUUGUAACUGUGGAGGAGAUGGUGGUGGUGGUAUUUGUUGUUGUUCUGACAAAGGUUCAGAAACUAAAGGAGUUUCUAUGAUUGAAAUGAUAAAGGUUGAUUGAGGUGGUGAAAGUGGGAUAGGUUCAGAAACUAUUGGUUGAAAUGAAGGAUGAGGUUGGAUUGGUAAGAUCCUUUCAAAAAGAAUUGAAUCGAAAUUAAAUUGAGUGUUAUAAGAAGGAAGCUUACCAGAUGUUACAUCAUAAGCUCUUGAAGAAGACUGUACGACUCCAGAAGUAUCCUUCAAAAUCAUUGCCUUCUUGCGCUCACUUAGAGGCACCUCGUCUUCAUCCAGAAAGACAACAAUCUUCUUCUUCUGAGCCCUAGAAGAUCCUUCGCCUUUAAAUUCCUCCUUUCCCUUCCCACGAGCAUUAGGGCAAGUCUCAGGAAGGUUGAAUGGAUCCACCAAUAGGCCAAGUCCAUCCUUCAGACAGCUUUCCAGAUAUGCCAUCAGAACCUGCGGAGGGUCGACCUUGGUGAAGAUUGGGUAGUCAUCUAUAUGAUUUCUUGUACCACAAAUAUCAUCCUUAGAAAGAAUUAAAUUUGGUCUUUGAUUUCUAGAUAUGAGCCCCAUACACUUCAGAUUCUUUCCCUAGAAUACCUUUCCAACAUCCUUCACCAGUUCUUCUGUCAAUCCACUAACUAGAAGGUCAUCUAUUAAACCAUUUUCCACAAGAAUGUCAGACAUUAGUAUGUCGUUAGGAAUGAAAAUUCUCUUUGUCUUCUUAGAAGAACCACCAGUUCUGGAUUCUCGGAUAGAACCCCUCAUGAACUUGAACAAAAUGGAAGGAAGUCCCAGCUUGACACCCUUCUCCAAACAAAAUAACAUGAACUUCUGAUGAGUGUUGAUGUAGUCAGGCCUAUUUAUGCUAGGCCUGUGGUAAAUACAACCCAAAAUAAUCUUGAACCAAACUCUUAGAUUCCUAGUCAAGUCAUUAGCACUAGGACCUUUGUCAUCUUCAAAGUUUGUUUCAUCCUUGAAGAUAGCUGGAGAAAUGGCAGCUUCUCUCUUAGUGGUGAUCUUAGCACUGCGUAUCCUUUUCCCUUUACCAUCAUGAGAGAUAAGAUUAACUAUGGACUUCUCAAUAAUAACUAUUUUCCAAUUCAUGACAUAGUAAGAAAUAGUUUCCUUUUCAACAGUUGCAUGCACCCAAAACUGCUUAACGAGAACUGGAUAAAUUGGGCUUGUGAGUCUCUCGAAGAAUGUUUUCUAACCUUGAAGUUCCAAGGUUUCAGUGAAAUCAAAACCGUUUUCCUUUAAAAAUUUUAAAUCAAUGAUGGUUUCGCAUAACACCAUUAACUCGUUGACAGGAGUAUGAAUAGUCAAUUCAGAUAUCCCUUUCAAGGUGGGGCUAUUUUCAGUUACCUUUGAAGAACUUGAAGAGUAUUGUUGUUGUUUAGCCAUUUGAAGAAGAUAAAGAUGAAGAACAGUUACAGAGAGAAAGGGUUAUUUUUAGGUUUGAAAAUUGAAAGUGUGGGAGUAAUGUGCGCGUAGUGUGAAAAUGUGAGUGAAGUGGGUUUAUAUAGAAAAUUUUGCAAUGAUGACAAAAAGGGAAUAUGCAGUCAUAGGGGGAAGCGUAAGAGUUUAAACCUAAUUCCAAGAAUCGUUAAACCCAAUGUGUCACGCUUUUAUCAUGCAUUCUCAAAAAUUGGGACAAUCGUCGCCACUAAGAACCACAUGAAAUCAAACGACAAGACAACCAUUUAAUGCAGCAACUGUUCAGAAUCAUGAAAACAAAUCAAUAAGAUUGUUUUUGAUAAUAACCUUUCUGAUUCAUGAAAACUUUGUUACUUCAGAAAGCUCAUGUUUCAUAGUCAAAAAGAAUAACACUCUCAGAAUCUAAUCUAGAGUUCUGAAGACUUAAACAUUCUAAAUACAUCUUUUCAUUCUGGACAUAAUUUCAUAAAUAAGUUUUUCAGAAUGAACACGAAUCUAUCUUUGGCAAGGGGUGUCGUAAAGAUAUAAGCCCAUUGAUGAUCUGUAUCAGCAAAUUUUAAAAUUUAAAUUUCCUUCUGAACAUAGUCACGUAAAAAGUGAUGUUUUAUUUCAAUAUGCUUAGCCCUAUAAUGCAAGAUAUGAUUCUUAGAAAAACAAAUAGUAAAGAUAUAACCCCAUUGAUGGUCUGUAUCAACAAAUUUUAAAUGAAAAUUUUCCUUCUGAACAUAGUCAUGUAAAAAGUGAUGUUUUAUUUCAAUAUGCUUAGCCCUAGAAUGCAAGAUAUGAUUCUUAAAAAAACAAAUAGAAGAAGUAUUAUCAUAGAGAAUAAGAAUGUUACUCUCAGAUAUCUGAUAAUCUUCCAGGUGAAUCUUCAUCAAGAGUAUCUGAGUGUUGCAUCUAGAAGUUGAAAUGUAUUCAACUUCGGCAAUUGAACGUGCAAUUGUUGUCUGUCUCUUACUGGACCAUGAGAUCAAGUUAUCUCCUAGAAAUUGGAAACUUCCAGAAGUACUUUUUAUUUCAAUUCUGUCUCCAGCAUAGUCAACGUCAUAAUAGCCUACUAAUUUACACCCACUUGAUUCCCAGAAAGAACUUAAGUUCUCCCAUCAGACUCAUUUCAAAUUUUAUCUGCAUAGACUUAACAAAAUCCAUGCACAACAAUGCAUUAGCAUAACCAAAAAUAAUAUCAUCAACAUAAAUUUGCACAACCAAAAUAUAAUUCUUAAAGGGUUUGCAAAAGAGAGUUGUGUCCAUUUUCCCUCCGGUAAAAUCAUUUUCCAAAAGAAAGUUGCUUAGUCUAUCAUACCAAGCUCUAGGAGCUUGCUUCAGACCAAACAAAUAUUUUUUCAGUUUAAAAACAAAAUCAGGAUUUUGAGAACUUUCAAAACCAUGAGGUUGACGCACAUAUACUUCUUCAGAAAUAUAUCCAUUCAGGAAUGCACUCUUAACAUCCAUGUGAUAAAGGAUGAUGUUAUGAUUGACUGCAAAAGAAAUUAAAAGAUAAAUAGACUAUAACUUGGAAAUUGGAGCAAAGGUUUUUGUAGAGUUUAUACCUUCUUGCUGACUAUAACCUAGUGCUACCAUUUGAGAUUUAUUUCUGACAACCUCGGUUUUCUCAUUCAGCUUGUUUCUGAAGACCCAUCUGGUUCCAAUGACAUGGAAACCCUUUGGCUUCUGAACAAGAUCCCAAACAUCAUUUUUGGUGAAUUGAUUCAAUUCUUCUUCCAUAGCCAAAAUCCAUUCAUUAUCCAGAAGAGCUUCAUCAAUUGAUGUGGGUUCUAUCAGAGACACCAAAAUGUUACCAAUGGCUCCAGAGCCAGUGAUCUUUCCGUUCUGGUUUCCUCCGAAACCAACUAAGCCUCCAGGCUUAAGUUCCAAGUCUUGGAACAUAAGCCUUCUAUCUGUCAUAUGUCGCAAGUAUCCACUCUCCAGGUACCAUGAUUGGUGUUUCAGCUGAGCUGUUAAGGAUGUCUGCAACAUAAAUUAUUUUAUCCUUAGGUACCCACUUUUUGGGUCCUCUUUUGUUAGUUUUUCCAGAGUUUCUUACAACUUUGGGUCUUUUAGCAGAAGGAUAAUCAUGAGAUAUUUGUGCAUGAUACUUAGGUUUCAGAACAAAGUUCUUAUCCUUAGUAUGCUUCUGUGUCUGUGCAGAAGUAUCAAGCUCAAUGCUAGCAGGCAUGAAAUGCACAUAGAGAGGUUUUGGUUUGACCUUCUGACUUUCGUCAAGUUUUAUAGAUUUUGUACAACCUAAACCUUUCCUUCCAUUUCUGCUAACUCCAUAGAUCAAGGAAGCCAUUUUGCUUCUAUUUAUGCUUUUAUCCAAAAAGUACUGGAAUGCUCUGUCGUAUCUGAUGAUGCAAUCAGUAUCAGACGCUUCUGAAAUUAUUUCCUCCUCUAGUUUUUAAAUUUUGCUUUUCAAAGCAGAGUUGUUACUUUCUAAAGAAAAUACCUUUUCAUUUAGAGAGGAAAUAUCUUUCUCAAGCUCUAUCUGAGUUUCAGAAGUAAUUGCUUGGAAUUAUUUAAGGUCCUUGUAUUUACUCUGAAGACUCUGGCACUUUUCCAGUAUUUUAGAAAGACGUGAUUCAAUAUUAGAACGAGAUAGGUUAGAAAAUACCUCUUCAGAAUUGGAGUCAGAUUUUGAUUCUGAUAAUACCUUGUCUUCUGGUUCUUCAAAGCUUGUGGGAUCCUUUGUGGUUUCCAUAAGUCAACAUUGGCUUUUUCUUUGUCAGAAUCUUCUUCUUCAGAUUCUGAGUCAUCCCAGGUAGCCAUCAUCCCCUUCUUAACGUUGGAGAAGUUCUUUUUGGGCCUUAUGUCCUUCUUCAGCUUUGGAUAAACAUUUUUAUAGUGGUCUGGCUCCUUGCACUUGAAGCAUAUAACUUCUUUUCUAGAACCUUGCUUCUUUUGUCCAGAAGAAGAAUCGAAGCGACCAACAGUCCUUCUGACUCCUCUGAACUUCCCUUGACCAUUUUGUCUAUGUUUCCAGAGUCUGUAGACUCUCUUUGAGAUUAGAGACAGUCCAUCAUCAUCAUCUGAGUCUUCAUCAGAUCCUUUUAAUUCUUCCUUAGCUUGAUAGGCUCUUGUCUUCUCAGGCUUAGAUUUUAGAGCAACAGGUUUACCUCACUUUUGAGGUUCAUCUUCUUCUAUCUCAAUCUCAUGACUUCUUAAAGAACUAACAAUUUCUUCAAGACUGAUGUUGUUUAGAUCCUUUGUCAGCUUCAAGGCAAUUACCAUAGGUCUCCAUUUUUGGGGAAGACUUCUGAUAAGUUUCUUGACAUGAUCAGUUGUAGAAUACCUUUUGUCCAUAAGUUUAAGUCUUGCGACAAGCAUCUAAAACCUUGAGAACAUAGUCUUUACUCUUUCAUCAUCUUCCAUUUUGAAUGCAUCAUAUUUCUGGAUUAAGGCCAAAGCCUUUGUCUCCUUUACUUGAGCAUUUCCUUCAUGAGUCAUCCUCAGAGAGUCAAAGAUAGAUUUGGCAGAAUCUCUGUUUGUUAUCUUCUCAUACUCCGUAACAGAUAGCAUUAAGAAAUAUGGUUUUGGCCUUAUGAUGAUUUUUAAAGUCUUUCUUCUGUUGAUCAGACAUAGCACUUCUUACUAAAGUAUUUCCUUCAGCAUUUACUGGGUGAACGUAACCAUCGACUACAAGAUCUAGAGAUCAACAUCAUAACCAAGAAAGAAACUUUAUAUUUUGUCUUUCCAAUAGUCAAAUUUCUCACCAUAAGAAAUAAGUGGUUUUGCAUUGUAAUGAUCUCUAUCAUUAUUAACAAUGUUAGCAACAGUCAUUGUUUCUCACAACUGGAUCGGUACUGAACAUUGUGAGGUGUUGAUAAUUUUUUUAUCACAAUCAGAACUAGAGCUCUGAUACCAAUUGAAGGUGUGAAAACACAAGAAAGGGGGGGGGGGUUGAAUUGGGUUUUAAGAGCAAAAGAUUUUUCCAAAACAAGAACACCACUAACAAGUUAAUAACAAAGAGAUAAAAACAGAAGCAUUUUUAUCCUGGUUCGCUUGAAACUCAAAGUUAAUCCAGUCCAUACGCCAAGGUGAUUUUUCCUUAUACACAAGGACUUAAUCCACUAUAAUCAACAGAUUACAACAAACACAAAGAAUAACCUUCUUUGUCUUCUCAAGGAUCCAACUAAACCUUAGUCUUCUUAAGGACUCACAAAGAACAACUUUCUUUGUCUUCUCAAGGAUAACCUCCUUAAGGAAUCAAACAAAUAGUUUGAAUAAUAUUUUGUGUUACAAGAUACUUCUACACAAGCAGAUUUUACACAAAUGAAUAACAAACACUUAAAGAAAAAUUGUAUACAAAAGAAUGAUAGAUUUUCACAAAGAAAAUAACUUGUCAAAAUAUUUGUGUAACCGGUGUUUUUCUUCAAGUCUCCAAGUCAUACAUAUAUAGCAUAAGCAUAAUACCGUUAGAGGGCAAAAUGGGGAAAGCUCAUUUGAGCGACUGUCCACUGUGUUGGUGUAAGCCCUAGAGGCCAAUACUUUUGGUACUUGUAUCGAAUUAUUUAUUAAUAAUAAAAGGCUUUUUCUUUAUUACGUUUGUUUAAUAAAGUCCCUAGAAUAGCUAGUCUGUUAUGUACCAAGUAUGACUUAUCAUGAGAUCACAUUAAACAUAAGGACACUAUUCUUAAAGUAUCCGUAGUCGAGCUUUAGUGUGAAGUGGAAACAUUGAAGCAUUAAGACUAUUAUGUUUGUAGACUGAUGAUCCACAUCUCAUGGAUCAUGGAUAAAGAGUUAUCAAGUCUUAAACAUAGGUAUGAAUAUUAAGAGUAAAUUUGUACCGGAUUGACCCGCUAUGAGAAUACUAAUUAGAAAGUUAUGCAAGGUGUCAUAAGUUAUUCUCAUGGUGAAAUAGUGUAUUCCACUCUUCGACUGAAACCACUAUGGAUCCUAGAUGUAGAGUCGAGUGCUUUAUUGCUGAUCCACGUUGUCCGUAACUAGAUAACCAUAAGACCAGUUAAUGGGUACUCCACAAAGCAUGCUGAGGGACAUGAGUGUCCUAGAUGGAAUUUGCCCAUCCUGCGUAACAGGAUAAAUGUCUAUGGGCCCAAUAUUGAACUGAACAAGGAUGACACUGGUCUAUGCCUUGUGUUCAAUAUAGACAUAGGGCAAAAGGGUAAUUAUACACAUAAUUAUUAUCACAGAAAGGUUUUGUCAGAUCACAUGACAUUUUCGUGUCUUGGGUAAGGCAGAUGUGUUGCUAGAUUACCGCUCACUGUUAUUAUAUUAAAUGUGUGAUUUAGUAUAAUUGCCAACGUCACGAAAACCUACAGGGUCACACACAAAGGACGGAUUGAUGAGAGAUAGAGUAACUAAGGAAUACCGUAAGGUACGGGCCCUUAAGUGAGUUAUAGAACAUCGUAAGGUACGGUGUCUUGAGUAGAAAACGAAUAUGGUAAGGUACCAUGAGCUUAAGUGAUUUUGGGCAUGUUAUAAGAUAUGGGCCAAAAUACACUUAAAGUGGGCUUUUAGCUUGAAGCCCACACAAGUGGUUCUAUAAAUAGAACCCUUGUGCAGAAGCAAAAAUUUGCGGUUGCAUUAUUUUCGUUCUAUCACUUUUCUCUCUCUCACUCAAAGCCUUCAUUCGUACCAGCUAGCACAGCGAGAUUGAAGGAACCGUUCUUGUGGACUGAGUAGAGACGUUGUCAUCGUUCAACGUUCGUGAUCGCUUCGGGAUUUGCAUCAAAGGUUUUGAUCGUCACAAGAGACUGCACCAAAGGUUUCUACCGUCACAAGAGGUAAAUAUUCUAUCACUAAUCAUGACCAUUCGUAAGGAUCUCUAAAGGAGAAAAUUUAAAUUCUCGCUGUGCUUUGGGUCGCAAUUCUCCUUCAGUGGUAUCAGAGCCACUACAAACCAUGACUCGGAUAGCUGUUUACUUUCUGUAUAAUAUGAUUAAAAGACAGAAUGAAUCAUUAAUUAAACGAGUAAUUAAAUUUGGCAUCAUGAGUGUACGAGUUGGAUGAUUGAUGUUGACUAUGCUUCGGAAUCCGACAUUAGUAUGGUGAAGCAGCGAUAAUCGAUCAUCCAUAGGUUACGCAAUUGAGACCGAUCAACUUAUAUAUGAUAAGUAAUCCUAAUGCAAAAUACGGUAUAAUGUGAUAUACUGUUUCUGUUUCGUUCAUUCGAACACUAAAUGAUGUUUUCCUUUGAGCGAUCAAUGGCAUUUGCUUCGAAUCCGACAUUAGUAUGGUGAAGCAAUGACCUGUGAUCAAUCAUAUUGAAUCAACAAUCGAGGUUGUUUGACGGUCUGAAAUUGGCGCAUUAGGUUGGGACGGCACAAGGGUUGUGCGUCAAGGAGUUGUGAAUUUAGGGCUUUUUUUGGAAGAGGUCCGUAGACUGUUUCAAAAGUCCUAUUAGUUUGGCCGCGUGAAGCUCGUGUGCGAGCGUAACAGGCGUAACAAACUGGAUGCGUGACGGUCGUAACAACCACCAUGACGGUCGUCACACUCACAUUGCCUGUGACGGUCGUCACACCGCUGUGAGCGGUCGUCACACUCCAGAGUCAAAUAUUUGGGGUUCCUGUUUUGUGACUACGCCAAGGGUGUGUCAUGCAAAACAAUGUUCCAUUUCAAUGAAUUGUUCAUUAAAAAUUUGGACAGGGGCGCUGCCCUCCAACCCCGCAAGGGCGCUGCCCCUUGACCCCGUCCGCUGACGGGCAGCGGGACCCCCGGCUAACUCUGCGUAGUGAUCGGUCGCCGAAAUUUAAUUUGGUUUUAAUUAAUUAAAGGAAUUAAAAUUUAAUAAUAACAAUGUGUUUAUUAUUAUUGCCUUGUGGUGAUCAGUUAUGGCCUUAGUUGUUCUUAUUUUUUUGGGUUUUUAAAUACGACCUGCGUGUCGUGCCUCUCCUUUUGAUCUCUUCAUGUAAUUCUUUUCUCAUCUCCCCUCGUAUGUAAAACGAGUUUCUCUGUAAUGUAAUGAUAUGAAGAAAGAAAGAAUUCAUAUCAAAGGAAGAAAGAGAAGAAAUUCAAUAUCAAAGGAGAAUAAUGAUAUGAGAAAGAGAAAGAAUUCAAUAUCAAUGGAGGACAACCCUUGAAUGAUCUUGCUUGGAGAAGCUUAGAUCGUUAUAGGUUAGCUUAGGUUCUCUCAUUGGCUUGGGAGAACAAUUGCGCUAGGCAUAACUGUUUCAUUUGUUUGUAUGUAUGUUGAUGCAUGUUGAUGUAUGUUGACUGCAUGUGAGAGACAAUUUAUAUGAAAAACAACAAGCCGGUGAGAUCAUAACAAUUGCAAUUCCCUCAAACUAAAAAUAUUAAGUUUAUGCUUUCCAAGUUUUUUAGCACUCAUCAAGACUAGUAUCCGGAUAAUGUAGUUUCGCCAAAGCGAGGUGCAUGUUCUAUAUUAGUAAGGUGCGAUGGGGAUAAUUGUAAUAUCCAACUGCAAAACAAUGGUCAAACUUAACUAAACAAUUAUGAUGAUAUUAUAGUUGUUUGUCUUUCCAAGUUUUAGCACAUCAAGACUAGUAUCGGAUAAUGUAGGUUCGCCAAAGCGAGGUGCAUGUCCUAUAUUAGUAAGGUGCGAUGGAAUAAUUGUAAUAUCAACUGCUAAGACAAUGGGUCAAACUUAAUUAUAAUAUAUCAUAUAUGUUUUAGAAGCAUGAGUUGGGAAUAAUCAUAUGAAUGGAUUGGAAAUAAGGAUAUUCAUCACCCAACUGAAAUUUUCGAGAGUUGUAUGAGAUACAACUAGAAGGAGUUCCUACCUAAUACCUAGUUUUUGUGUAAUCCGUUACGCUGGACUUAGAACGAAGUGAACAUAUGGAUCUCGACCUCACUAGAAAAUCUUCAACGGAUUUUCCGAAUCAAAUGAUGAGGGUCAUUUGUUUUGAGUAAAAUAGUGGAGCAUAUUUUGUUAAAGGCCCUAAUUAAAAUAUGUCAUGAAUACUUAUAUAUUCUUAUUCUUAUGUAGAUUACCAUGACAACAAAACCUCUAACAACAUCUUGCGAUCAAUUCCUUGACAAGGAAAUAUUGUCCUGGGACAAAUAUUCCUGGAUUGGCACCGCGAACCUGAGGACUGUCCUCAAACAUGAUAUAAAAGCUGUAUUGUCUUGGAGACUCCUGUUCUCGAAGAGGAAACCUCCUAGUUAUGCACCUAAGGCAGAAAGAAUGCUUAUAGAAGCAUUCGAGAUGCCAAUGAAAACUGCUUGUCUCAUGCUAGCUACCAUGGAACUCUCAGAAUUGCAAGCAACUAUAGAACAUGUCAGCGUUCGAUAUGAUCGAACACACUGAGUUGCCUAUUCAAGAGCAAGCAAGGCAUGAAAGGUUUUGAGUUUCAAAAGCCCUUUUUCAAGCAGUAUAGCUGAGGGAGCCUUAAGUCCGCCAUUGCUCAAGAUGAAUUGGUAUGUUGGAAAACCUUGAAAGGUUGGUUUUCCCUCGGAAAGGAACUUGCGACUGAUUUGAUCUUGUCAUCGUUGUCAGAUAGAUUCAGUCAAUUUGUCCUAAAUUUCAAUAUGAAUGAUAUGGAAUAAAUCUCUUUCCUGGACUGCUAGGCCAGUUAGAAUAGCUGAACAGGAACUGAAGACAAAGGGAAGUCAUUCUGUGAUCAGAUGGAAGAGCAGAACAAAAGCGCCACCAAGCGGUGAAUAUAAGGGAAAGGCAAGGAAGUUGCCCAACCCAGACCCACUGUUGCUGCUUGAAGCUACUGGAGGCAAGCAAAGCAGGCACCCUCUGCUUCCUUGCGGCUAAGACCCGACACUGGAGAGAGAAAUCCAAAGACUGGAAGAAACGAAAAUGGGAGGUAGAGACUCAACUCCUCAGAUUUUUGUUAUUGAAAUAAGUCUAUUCUACCUUCUCAUCAUGGAAUUUAGAUAUCUGGAUGCGUCUCACAUUGUACAAAAUGUGCAGGGGCUAAAAAGAAGUAGAGAUUUGGCAAAGGUGAAGUGGUGACCUACAGUUGGCAAGAGCCAAAGGUUGCUGCUUUAGCCGUAGGAAACUUAAUGUAUAACUUACCUAGUGGUUUAAUAAUUCAGUUAGAGAACUGUUAUUAUGUACCUGCAAUGUAGCAGGAGUAUAUUCCAUUUCUUGUUUGGACAAGUUUGGUUUUUUCAUAAUAAUAAAGAACAACUGUUGCUCAAUUUAAUUUGAAGUGAUAUAUUCUAUGCUACUGCACAAAUGAGCAAUGGACUGUAUGUCCUUGAUUCUCAGAAUAUGCCUAUAUAUAACCAUUAAUAUAAAGGAUGAAACCUAACGAGUUAAAUCCAACUUACCUUUGCAUUGUCGAUUAGGCCACAUAAAUGUAAAACGCAUUUCCAAACUCCAUAAAGUAUGGACCUUGGCCUUUUGAUUUAUGAAUCCUAUGAGAACUGCAGAUCUUGUUUAAUUGGAAGAUGAAAAUGUCUCCCAUUCACAGGAAAAGGUGAAUGAAGCUAAUGAAUCUUUGGCCGCUCAUAAUACUGAAUGUAGUGUGGACCACUGAACAUCGGCGCAGAGGAAGUUUUCAGUACUUCAUCACUCACUGAUGAUGUCGUAGAUAUGGGUUAUUGUGUAUUUAAGUGAAACACAAUCAGAGUUCCUUUGAAAAGUUCAAGGAAUCAGCAUGCCUAGUACAAACCAACUAGGUAAGAAUAUUAAAACUCUCGAUCAGAUCGAGGUGGUGAGUAAUUUAAGCCUAAGAGUUGAUGACCAUACAUGCUGAAAGAUGUGUGGGAUCCUAUCCAGACUUACUCCUCCUGGAACACCCCAAAUGGAAUGGUGUAUCUGAGAGAAUAAAUCGAACCCUGUUAUACAUGGUCGAUCCAUCGAUGAGUUCACGCCGAUCUUCCAAACUCCUUUUGGGACAGCACUUAUUGACAAGCAGCUUACUACACUUAACGCGUGUUCCAUCCAAAAAGGUUGAGAAGAACACCAUAGUGAGAUAUGGAGUGAUAAGAAACAAUAUGUCCUUAACAUGAAAGAUUUGGGUUGCGAGGUUUUAUGUGAACGACAAAUUUUCAAACUAAGCUUUGAGCCCGAAAUCUGACAAAUGCUUAUUUGUGGGGUAAAUCCUAAAGAAACAAAAGGGUAUUACUUCUUACAGGAUCCUUCUGAGGCAAGAGUGUUUUUGUCGCUCGAACGUGGAGUUUCCUAGAAAAGGAUUUUAUGUUUCAAAGGAACCAGUGGGAGGAAGUAGAGCUGAAGAAUUCAAGAAUCACAAAGCAUAGAUACACCUAUGAGGAAUUAGAGCAGGAAAACACAAGAAUUGUGGAAGAGCAACCUGCUCAAGUAGAACGAGACCGAGCGUAGGUCAAGCAGGAUACGUCAACUACCUGAGAGAUAUGGAUUAUGCUCAUAACUCCUCAAGCGGUUGAAUGUAUUACUCAUCAGAUCAAGAUGAGCCUCGUGACUACCAAGAGGCCAAUAGAUGGUCCGAGUCUGAGAAGUGGCUAGAAGCCAUGAAUCUGAAAUGGAUCCCAUGUACACAAACCAAUUUGGGAACGCUUGGUAGAGCCUCCUGUAGGAGUUAACCCUAUAGGAAUGCAAGUGGGUCUUCAAAAAAGAAGACUGACAUGACGGUAAGGUAAAUACCUAUACAGGCAAGACUGGUUGCAAAAGGAUAAAUUAAACAAAUUCAUGGGAUUCGACUAUGGAUGAAACCUUUUCACCAGGUUGAAAAUGCUUAAAUUGUUCGGUUACUGUGGCUAUGCGUUGCAUAUCAUCGCCUUAUGAAAUAUGGCAGAUGGCUGUCAAAACCUGCUUCCUUAAUGGAAAUCCUUCCUUGAGGAGUGUACGAAUGACACAGCCUGUAAAGAUUUGACAUAGCCAGAGGAAGCCCAAAAGAUACUGUAAGUUACAAAAGAUCAACUCUAUUGGAUUGGAAGCAAGCUUCCAGAAGCUGGAAUCUUCGUUUUGAUGAAACAGUAAAACAAUAUGGAUUCAUCAAGAACGAAGAUGAGCCCUUGUGUCUAAAGAAGUUAGUGGGAGCAUGAUCGUUUCACUGGUAAUUAUAUGGUAGAUGACAUACUUACUCAUGUGGAAACGAUAUCCCUACCCUACAACAUAAAGUCCUUGGUUAGGGAAGUGCCUUUCUAUGAAGGACCUAGGUAAGCAGCCAAAUAUUAGGAAUCAGAAUCUAUAGAGAUUAGACGACAAAAACUGCUUGCUUAAGUCAGAGUACAUACAUAGACAAAGUGUGAGACGCCUUUAAUAUGCAUGAUUCCAAGAAAGGUUCAUACCUAUGCAACAUGUUCUGUGUCUACUCAAACACACAAUCCCCUUUAACUAAGGAAGAAAAGGAUCGCAUGAAUAAGAUUCCAUAUGCGAUCUGCAAAUAGGAUAUAUCACAAUGUAUGCAUGUUAUGGUACUCGACCAGAAUGUUCGUAUGCUUUGAGUGCAGAUCAGUAGGUACAUCGCUCCUGUGAUGCUCAUGGGUAGCAGUCAAGAAUAUACACCUUAAGUAUUUUAAGAAGGACUAAGGACUCAUCUUGAUAUAUGUGAGGUCAGGAAAGUUGGCUGUAUUGAUACACCGAUGCUAAUGCCUCCAGACAGAUAGGAUGACUUUAGAUCGCAAUCCUGGUUAUGUGUUUUGGUGAAAUGGUGGCGCUGUGAGCGUUUAAAAGUUCAAAGCAAGAUCAGUUGCUGAUUCUAACAUACCGAGGCGAGUAAUAUGCUGCCUCAAAUGCAGAAAAGGGAGUUGUUUGGGUCAAAAUCAAAAUUCAUUAGUUGAACUUGGCAUGAUUCCCUAGCAUUGUGGAUCCCAUUGGUCUCGUAUCAUGAUAACAGAUGGUGCUAGUCCGCACAAGCCAAGGAGCCUAGAUCUCACAAGAUCCAAACACAUACUUAGGCGUUAUCAAUCUCAUUCGAGAGAUAAUAGAAUAGAGGAGCAUGUGAAAAUUGCGCAGAGUACCUACAGAUUGACAAUAUUGCUGAUCCCACUGACAUAAGCCUUUGCGCAGGCAGAAGCAUGAUGGCCAUACAAGAAAUCUAUGGGUAUAUAAGGGUAUGCCUGAUUGCUUAGUGCUAGUGGGAGAUUGUUGGCUGAGCCUUAGAGGCCAAUUAUUUUUGGUACUUGUAUCGAAUUAUUUAUUAAUAAUAAAAGGCUUUUUCUUUAUUACGUUUGUUUAAUAAAGUCCCUAGAAUAGCUAGUCUGUUUAAUGUAUCAAGUAUGACUUAAUACAUGAGAUCACAUUAAACAUAAGGACUAUUUCUUAAAGUAUCCGUAGUCGAGCUUUAGUGUGAAGUGGGAUAACAUUGAAGCAUUAAGACUAUUAUGUUUGUAGACUGGAUGAUCACAUCUUCAUGGAUCAUGGAUAAGAGUUAUCAAGUCUCUUAAACAUAGGUAUGAAUAUUAAGAGUAAUAUUUGUACCGGAUUGACCCGCUAUGAGAAUACUAUAUAGAAAGUUAUGCAAGGUGUCAUAAGUUAUUUCUCAUGGUGAUAAUAGUGUAUUCCACUCUUCGACCUGAAACCACUAUGGAUCCUAGAUGUAGAGUCGAGUGCUUUAUUGCUUGAUCAACGUUGUCCGUAACUAGAUAACCAUAAAGACAGUUAAUGGUACUUCUCACAAAGCCAUGCUUGAGGACAUGAGGUGUCCUAGAUGGAAUUUGUCCAUCCUGCGUACAGGAUAAACAAUGUCUAUGGGCCAAAUUAUUGAAACGAGCUGAACAAGGAUGACACGGUUAUUGGUCUAAUGCUAUUGUGUUCAAAUUUUUGGAGUUUUGAUAUAGGAAACUAAUUGGAGGUGUUUAAUUGUCAAGAAGGAUGUAGAGAAUGUAUGGGGGAUUUUAGUUAUCAAACAAUAAAUAUAUGAUUUACAUCAGUCGCAGUUAAGACAAAGGAUAGAGGGCAAAAGGGUAAACAAAUUAUAUCACAUAAUUUUAUCACUAGAAAGGUUUUUGUCAGAUCAAUUCGACAUAUUUUCGUUCUUGGGUAACAGCAUGAUGUGUUGCAACCUAAGGGCUUCAGGAUGGUCGGAGCAGAGGUGUGGUUUGUUUAAUCUAUAUUUAUACAUGUGCGGUCGAAUCUUUAAUAGUAUGAUUUUUGCCCAAGCGUCAACGAAAAACCUAGCAGGGUGGCCCAGACAACACACAGGAACGGAUUGAUGAAAAGAAGAUAAGAAGUAAACUAAUGGAAUACCAGUAAGGUACGGUGCCAAAAAAGAUAUUAAGAACAUCGUAAGGUACGGUGUCCUGAGUAGAAUACCGAAAUAUGGUAAAGGUACCAUGACACAAGGCCCCCAGGAGCACACUAGUAUAAAAAAAAAAAUUUUUUUUUGGGCAUGUAUAAGAUAUGGGGCCAAAAUAAACACUAAGUGGCUUUUUUUUUUUAGCUUGAAGCCCACUACAAGUGGUUGCUAUAAAUAGAACCCUUGUGCAGAAGUAUAAGAAAUUGCUGGUUGCAUUAUUUUCGUUUUCUAUCACUCUUCUUCUCUCUCACUCAAAGCCUUCACAUCGUACAGCUAGCACUGAGAUUGAAGGACCCGUCGUGUGGACUGAGUACAGACCGUUGUCAUCGUCAACGUUCGUGAUCUGCUUCGUGGAUUUGCAUCAAAGGUUGUGAAUCGCACAAGAGACUGCAAACAAAGGUUUCAACCGUCACAAGAGGUAAAUAUUCUAUCACUGAUCAUGACCAUUCGUAAGGAUCUCUAAAGGAGAAAAUUUUAAUUUCCGCUGCGCUUUGGGUCGCAAUUCUCCUUCACACUGUUGGAUGGGAAAGGAAUGAUAUUGCAUAUUGUCCUUUCGCCCAUAAAAUUAGUGACAAGUGUGAUAUAUAGUACUGUCCUUGCCCAUGAAUUUAGGUAGUGGAAAGGAUGUUCGUUUUGUACCAUGUACUAUUUGAUCACGUUCCCAUUUUGAUCUUAUCUUCAAAUUCAUUGGCUUAUGAUGAAAGUUGAUGAAGCAUGAAAUGAAUAAACAUAAACCUGGAUUUAGAAACUUCAGAAUCUUUGGUCAGAACCUUGAUAGCAUCAGUAGUCUGGCUUGAGAUCUUCAGUAUCUUUAGAGUCUUCAGAAUCCUCAGUCAGAACCUUGAUAACUUCAAUCGUCUGACUUGAGAUCUUCAGAAUCUUCAACUAUAUAACACAACUUCAUAAGCUUGUCAUUCUUCAGAAGUUUAAUGAUCAGAGUCACAUCCAGAAGCAUGAAUUGAGAGAAUAUUGCAGCAGCAACAUAAUGUCUCCUCAGAAGCUUCUGAUGAGUGAGACAACACAAAAGCAGAAAGAACAUUGCAGCAACAAUAUUUAUGUCUUUCAGAACUUCUAAUAGCCAACAUAGAAGCGGAUUUGGAACACAUAGUUCAGAAACUAAUGACGUUGCACAUCAUAUAUUCAGAAUCAGAACUGAUUGUUAAAGUUAAAUAAUAACAAACCAUUAGGGUACCAAAAUUGUUCUCACACAAAUACAAUAUUGUUAUCAUCAAAACUCAAGGUAUAGAUGUAGAACCAAAUCUUGUUCUAACAGAUGUCACCCUUCAUAUGUCUUGAGCAUCUACUAACGAGAACCUGUAUUCUCUUCAUAUAGCCAAGACAUUUAUCCUACAAGAUCGCCAAGAAAUGCUAGGUACCCAAUCUUCAUUGGGUCUUUGAGAGUUAGUGAAAGUAUGGUUGCAUUUGGGCAACCAUUGAAAAAAAAUUUAGGAACAAAGAGUCUCCUAAAUUUGCAUUUCUCAAUGGUGUGACCUCUCUUGCAACAAUAGUGACAAGAUAAAUUGUGAUGAGAUGUUCUUUUGCUAUUUGAAUCCUUUUGAAUAUAUCUAUACUUUUUAUGUGGAUGGUUCAAAGACCUUUUAAAUUUUGAGGGGUCAAUAGCAAAUAUAACAUUUGGUUGUAAUGCCUUGUCCAAUUUAGUUUUAAGAGUAUUAACCUCUUUUUGCCAAAUGUGACAAGUUUCACAACUGAAACAUGAAGGUUUUUCAUCCUCAUUCUUAUCCUUUUGAAUAUCUACCAUAGAUUGUUUAAGAGCUUCCAUUUUCUUUUUAGUUUCUAAAACUUUAGCUUCUGAGUGUGAAAAGAUUCUUUUGUUUAAAGCUAACUUUUUAAAAACGCACACGCCUUUUCUAUGUAGAUUUUCAAAAGCAUUUUAUAAUUGAGAAUAAGAUAUUAUAUUAAUAGAUUCGUGUUUAGAACGACUUACAUUCUUCUUCUUCUUUUGAUUGUCCAUGAAGCAAAUAUUUGUCGAUUCGUCACUACUACUUGAGCUUUCAUCACUUGAGGAUUCACUUUCCCUCUCCCAAGGAACGUAUGCUCUUAUGGACUUGCUAGACUUCUUGUAAUGGCCUUUCUCUUUGUCUGACUUAUAAUGACCGACUUUUCCACAACUGUAGCAUGAACCUCUAUGUUUACCCUUCUUAUUCUCACAUUCCUUUGAGGAGUUCGAUAGUCUUAUAAAGUUAAUUAGGUUCUUAUCAGAGUGCUUGACUCCAUUUUUCUCCAUGUACCUAUGGUACAUUUUGACGAACAACCUCAUUUCUUCAUCAUUAGAAUUCUCGUCAUUACUUGUUUCACAAUCACUUUGCUCAUUGGUUGAGGAUUUUAAACUUGAAGCCUUUAGAGAAAUAAACUUCUUUUUUACCUCUUUGUCCUUGUCUUUCUCCUUCUUUAUCUUCUUCUCGUUCUUUUUCUUAUGUUUUUCCAAGCAAAUGAGUUCUUACUCAUGUUCUUGUAGUUUGGGAAAUAAAGUUGUGAGGUCAAGUUUUCUAAGAUCAUUCGCUUCUUUGAUUGCGGUGACCUUAGGUUGUCAUUCCCUAUUAAGACACCUCAAAACUUUAUUAGUAGCAAUAUCAUUGGAAAUAUGCUUACCUAGAGCAUUCAAAUGAUUUAUAAGAUGUGUGAACCUCUUUUGCAUGUCAGCAAUGGUUUCACCAUGCUUCAUGCGAAAUAGUUCAAACUCUUUAGUUAAGGUAUUGAUCCUUGCUUGUUUGACUUCAUUAAUUCUCUCAUGGGUAACUUCUAAUGCAUCCCACAUAGCUUUGACAUUUUCAUAAUGGGAAACACGAUAAUAUUCAUCAACGCCAAGUGCGGGUAUGAGAAUAUUUUGUGCCCAAUCCAAAACUCUGUUCACUCAGACGGACGGACAUGUGUACGAUCACUCGGAGAUUCUGCAUUAAAGAUAGACACCACAAAUACCUCAACCAUUUGAAUCUAUUCAACUGGCUGUUAUAAUUAUCAUAUAUAUAUAUAUAAGUGUGACAUCAUGUCACAUUAAAGUACGAUUCAAUAUACUUUUACAAAUUAACACUACUUUGAUUUCACCGUCUUAUAAGUUUAAAUACUAACAUUGUAGAUACACAUUUUCCUAAUGACUCCAACCGCGACACUAAAAGUGUAAACUUCACCAUCACAUCAUUUUUUUUUCAAAAGAAAUAAAAGAGUUUUGAUUCCUACUUUGCAAUCCUUGCUCGAUGAAGUAACCAACCAAGGGAUUAAUGAUGACCCCACUUUAUCCCAAAGUCUCCAAUGUGGCAUGAUGUGAUUGAGUAACCAGCACAUCCACGAAAACGCAAUCCAAACCUAAUCUAUUCACAAGUAUUCAAUUUUUUCGUAGAAGUCAAUAAUAAUAAUAAUAAUAAUUGGAACACAAAAACUACCAUCACCACUAAGAUUCCUCACAUAUCUAUUCAGACCUCUUAGCAUUGCCAACACCGAAAUCACAUACUAGAAUGGCAACAACAACCUUUGCAACCGUCGUAGGAAUGGGUGGUGCAUCACGUCUCACCUCAGGUAUAUCUGUCAUUAAUUAAAACAUAAUUAAGCAUGUACCAUUUUUUUAUAUAUGUUUGUAUUUAUUUUAAUUGUGAUUUUCUUCCAGGAUUUGGGAAACCACAAGUAACUGCUAGGAAUCCUUUGAGGCAAGCUAUGGCGGUAGGAAAUGGUGGAAGAGUGACAUGGUAAUUUUUAUUAUAAGAUUGAUUUGUAAGGUUUUUAAACUGAAUUAUUUGAUCUCUAUGAAUAUUUAUUUUGAUGAUGAAAAAAAUGAAUUGUGAUAUUUUUUGUGGAUUGUGAUGUGAAGCUUCCAGAGGGAUUGGCUACGGAGGGAUUUCAAUGUGAUUGGGUUUGGGUUGAUAGGUUGGUUGGCACCGUCUAGCAUCCCGGCUAUUGACGGUAAAAGUCUGACUGGACUUUUCUUUGAUAGUAUUGGAACUGAACUUGCUCACUUCCCUACACCUCCAGCUCUUACUUCACAGUUUUGGUUAGUCAUUUCUUUCACAUAUUUUUGUAUUUAAUUCACUUGAUUCUCUGCUAUAUGCAAUCAUAGUUUCAAAUGAAAGUGGAAACAUAGAUGAGAAGUGAAGUAAUGAACAGGAAGGAAUUAGUUGGAGAUCUUCUAUACUUGUCCUUAGGUAUCCAACGGAUCAGGGACGGUUUUUAGUUCCCAUCCAAACCUGAAUUUCAAAAUAAUCUUCAACUCCCCAUUUUAUAAUUGAGAAAAACUCAAACUUUAACCUAAUUCAAUGAAAAUGGAUUUUUUUCAUAAAUUCGGGAUGGGACGGGAUAGGAUGGGUAUCCGGGAGAGUAUGAUUAUAUUGUCUUGCGUAUUAAAUCCUUAAAUCCAUUCAAAUUGAUUAGCUCAUGAGUCAUUUAGAAAAAUACUGAUAAAUAUAAAGCUUAAACCUUAUAAUAAAGAGCCCAAAUUUUAAAAGGUUAUUUCAGUCUGAUCUUAAAUAGCUCGUUAUCCAUUCAGGUCAGUAACAUGUAGCUAGCUCGUUUGAUUUGCAAACUAAAACUUAUAUUAUUAUUUAUGGCUGUUUCACAUUUCUUAAAAUUUUUAUUUUUUAAGAUAAUUAAGUUUUUCACAAAACUUCUUAAAUAAUUAUAUUUUUCUAUUAAUUUGAAGUAUUUAUUUUUUAAAUAAAAAAGAUUUACAACACAAAAUACAUAUUUAAUGACGACUACAUUAAAUAAAUAAAAAACAUAGUCAAUUGAAUUAACGGGUUAUUUGACGCAUUUGUACAAGAAAUAGGAAGGGUCGCCAAUUAAAUCAGUGACUAUGUGUUGAGUAUUUUUUUUAUUUUAAUCUAAUUAAUUAAUAAAUAAGUUUAAUAAAAACUAAUAAUAUUUAAAUUUAAAUCGAAUUAUACGAUAGUAUUGAGGAUAAAAUAUUUAAUGAAAAAACCAACUUAGCCAAUUUAAUAUACUAGGAACAUUUAGAAAAAUCAUCAAUGUCUUGGCUCAAUCAACUAGGUCACUCACUAAUAACUCCAUCAAUCCAAACAACAUAAUUCAACUAAUAACUCGUCAAUAGACACAAGACUACAUAAAAUUACAAGAAUUUAUUAGAUAAUUUGAUGAUAGGAUGUUCAGUGCAUAUUGAAAUGGUUAAGUUGCUUUUUCCAUUGAUUCGUCUUACCCUUAGUAAGUACACUCAAUAACAUGUAGAUGAUCUUUAAUGUUCUAGUACAUUCACCGAUUGGAAUAUAUAUUUAUAUGUUAAAUAUAUAUACAUUAAUAUUAUCAAAAUAAAUUUAAUUAUUUUAUGUUAGAAUUUAAAUUUUAAUGAAAAAAGUUAAUAAAGAGUUAGGUUCACAAUGAUAAAAAAAAAAUGAGUUCAAACUCUAUAAGUUCAUAUAUGCCAGCUUUAUAAGUCCGUCAUUAGCCUAAUAAAAAAGAAUCACAUCAUAGUUCAUUUCGUCUUUUUUUAUAGAUUUUUAAGUUUAGUUUGUUAAUAAAUAUUAAAAGGUGCUUAAUUUAAUUUUAAAUAAUUAAAUAGCAAGCAAGAUCUUUAAUGAUAAGGAUCAAAAAAAUUUAAAAGAAAAUUUUAAAAAAAAUAAAAAAAGUUAAAAAUUUUAGGUCCCACCGAGAAUUGAACUCGGGUUACUAGAUUCAGAGUCUAAUGUCCUAACCGCUAGACCAUGGGACCAGUUGAUGAUAGAGAGUUACGACGUGUUGUAUAUAAAUAUUCCGUAAAAUUAUAUUUUGUAUUUGAAUUUGAAUAUAUUUUUCGUUCUAAGACAUAAUAAAGCAAACAUGUUGAACAGGUUAUGGUUGAUCUGUUGGCACUUGGGGCUGUUCAUCUCCCUCACUUUCGGUCAAAUUGGUUUCAAGGGAAGGACUGAGGAGUACUUUGAUUCAUAAUAACUUAUGGUCUGUUAUUAAUUGCUUUUCCUUUUAUAUUAUUUUCUGCCUUGUAAUCUACCAUCUGUAACUCUGGUACCUUUUCCAUUGCACUAGAAAAAAUCGGUGUAAUAUCGCUUUCAUAAUGAAUCAAUGUAUAUUAGUAUUAUGGUUGUAUCUUGUGUGUAUUAGUUGCUUAUCAACGUCCCAAUUUUAGUUUUGCAAUUUUCCUAAAGGAUAAUCAUGAUUAUUAAGCCGGAAUAACUUUUUUUUUAAUGAAAUCUUAUCUAUUUAAUAUUUUACAAAACAAUAACAUUUCGUAAUUUAUAA
Molecule: long non-coding RNA, 29713 nt
Filed under: Lathyrus oleraceus (garden pea)
Lineage: Eukaryota; Viridiplantae; Streptophyta; Magnoliopsida; Fabales; Fabaceae
Description: Pisum sativum (pea) long non-coding RNA (PSAT_LNC030940)
Source: RNAcentral